UUUACCUACCCCUUCCUUUCAGCUGACGGGACUGACUUUGAAUGUUUCAUCCUUUAGAUCACCACCUAGAUCACCACCAUUGAAGAUACCUGAAAAUCAAUAGAUGGAUAUCUUGCUAUACUGUAUGAAGUAGAAUGAGUUAAGUGUGGUGUCAAGGAGUGUGUAGACCGUGAAGGACUGCUUGUCACCAAAUGGACGUGUCUGUGCUAGUUCAGAAUCUCCUUCAAGCUACGUUUGAAAUAUUUCUCUGUUGCAAAUCAAUCUUUACAUCUGUGAAAGCAAUCUACAAUUGUCUCCUGUAUUUCACAACUUGCUACCUGCAGUCAUCAUGGAAAGAUUUCUCCAGAACUCCACCUGAGAUUCAGCAAAAGUCCACCGAACCUGAGAUGCUGUGAACUAAAUGCUCUAAAUUCAAUGAAUCAGCAUUUCCCCCCCUGAAUUGUUCUGCUUGGAAGUGGGAAAAGUCACAGGUUUACUUCAUCUUUAAUACAAGUACUGUUAUGCAUAAUUCUUGCGUUUUUUUCCUUGAACAAAGCAGUUUACCCACCUUUUUGGUCCAAGGACAUGGACAGAGACAAUCUGGCGAAUUGAGCUGAGGUUGUUUAAGACAUAACCCCUCCAGCUGUCUUUCCGGCCCCUCUUUUAUAGGCUAACCCCUCCUACACCAGGCUUGGCAGGAUGGAACACUUGCACAUGUCUCAGCGCAAAGUCUGCUGUCUUAGCACAAACCUACUUUAUUCUGUGCUUUAAAGUAAAUUGCUGGACUUUGCACCUGAGGCAUGUACACACAGCCUGAGCCAGCUGCUUUUCCAUGGGGAUGUUUUCCCCUGGCAAACAGGUGGUAACAACUUGUGGAGAGGCUAGAUGCAAAAGAAAGUAAUAGUUUCUUAAACCACUAGUCAUUUCUGUUGUGAGUAUGUUCCUGCGGUCUGAGUCUCCAAAGGCCUGUAGACUUUGUUCUAUGGUAUUGCAGAAAUCAAUCUUCAGCCCCAUUUUAAUAGCUACAAGAGAAAGCUAUUAUAAACAUUCUCAGCCAAAUGAAAAAAGGUAUAGUAUGCAACCAUUGAAGAAUAUAAAUAAAUAUUUUGCAAAACUGCCUGUAAUUAUGCAAAGUAAGUUUUAUGCAAGGAAUGGCACCACCUAAAUUGCAGUGUAAUGUAUGCACACAUGUAGAGAAUACAAUAUUUUACAGCAAACUAUUGCCACCAUCCUGGAAUAGCUUUAGAGUUCUCUUCAAUUACUGAUUAACCUAUUCUAGUAAAAUGAAUUCUUUUAUGUUGGGAGGGGAGCUCUGCUGGUAAAUAUAUUCUUGCUAUUCUACGUUGAAAUAGUAAAGGUACAGUGGGAUUAUAGGGGAAGGUAGAAUUGCAGCUGUUAUAAACACCGUAUGUGACAACAUGACAUGAAUUCUUCUGCAGCUUUCCUUAUAGAAGGUAAGAAAUCCAAAAUUAGAUGGGACAGAGGCUACCUAAGCUGUUUUUGUAGCUAGAGCUUGUUCAUUUCUCACUUUAAACUUGGACGCUAGCAGUAAAUUUUAUUCUAGCAAAAAUUCCAAUAUUUAUGUUUUUUCCCAAUCCGUCAUCAUUUCUGUGUUUCCUGAUCAGUAGAACUGUUCUCAUUACAUUGGGCUGUAGCUCUUCACUGCAGAUACAGGGGAACAGGUCUGUUCUAGCCACAGCCGUUAGCAUCUGCCUUCCACUCCUGUGCCAUAAUGCACAUAAUGCAUGGUCUUAAUGCAGCACUGCAGCUUCUCUGGGAGCUGAACUGAAGUUACAGCACUGUGAUUGAGAAUGCCUUUUAGAAGGGGAGCAGAAACAAGUUAUAGGUAGGAAAGCUAGGAAAGCUGAAGCUCCCUUACCUAGUCUGUGCAAUGAGCCGACUUCUGACUGCCUUGCAUUUUGAAUGCUUUCAGAAUAUGCAUAAAAUGGGAAUCUGAUAUGGUGAUACUGCUGCAGUCAUAGUUGUUUCCGAAAUAGGUGGUGUUUCAACUUCCUAAGCAGUAAUUAUGCAUUGGUUGAUAUCCAGCCUUCCUUACCUUGUCUUUUUCAGCUUUGUCAUAAGGGUGUCUGGCAGGGCAAGAAAAAGGGAAGACACUUUAGUUUUGAAGAAUUUGCAAUUGUAAGCAGCUGGAAUGGAAAUGAUUAUUAACUCUUGUCAGAGGCAGACUGUUACCCCACAGGCUCUGUUGUGCAGUGGAGCAGGCCAAGUGAAAAGCUGUGGUCCAAGUUGCACCAGAGAGAAGGGAAGGUAGUGAGUUUGAAAGCUAAGAUUUUCAGGUGACCUUUCAUAGUUCUCCUGGCUAUCUGUGAAAAUCUUAAGGAGGUGCCUGUCAAUAGUACCAUAUCAUUCAUGAAUCUCAGUUUUGGUCACUUUAAAAGGGUAACAUGCUUUGAGAGGAAAAUCUUAAUGGAUCAAAAGAAGAAAUGUUAAUUCACAGAAAGUAGACCUUUCCAGAUGAGUCCUUAAAUCCUUGACUUCUUGUGCUGAAAUUGAUUCUGUUGUCCAUACAGCUAGGUCUUUAAGUCAAGUAUGUUCCCGAGAUCCAAAGUUUUACUUCCACUGAGUUCCUCUAGUGAAUAUCCAAGCUCUUCGAUUGCAUGAAUUAAUAGGCGUACCCUUUGAAUCGCAGAAGAUUGCACUAAGAUGUCUGUUUCAUUUGUAAAUUACAUUGAUUCACUUUCCUUCUAUGUAGCCGCUGGAGUCUGCUGGAAUAGAAGUCAGUCUGAAUUCCCCUUUAUCUGAAAGCAAAAAAAUCAUCAUAUAAGAUGUGUAAACAUGAUACACAUUUGGUGAGAUGAGGAAUUUUGUCUCUUGCCCUGUUUGUCUUGCUCUCUCUUCACGUGCAUGGAACUUGCAUUUCUCCAGUGCAGCGCUGUCACCUCUCCUUGAUGCACCACAAAGGUGGUCCUUUGCAAAGGCUCAUGAAGCAAGGGAGAAGCUCUGAUGCUGCAAGCACCUAGGCUGCAGUGCCACAGAACUUUUCCACUCAAGUCACCUAACCUGCUGUGGAGUGCCUCUCACCCUCAUAGUAGGGAAUUUUUAUGUAUGUUCUUCUACAGUUAACAUUUGUACUCUUCAGCCAUACCAUCUCCCAGCCUAGGUUAACAAAAGAAUUAAUAGAUCUGCAACCGAUUUUCUAGAUGGACCGCUAGACUAGACAUAUGAGGCUUCACCUGCCUCAUAUGCUGACCAGCUGCUGUUAGGAAAGCUUCUUGUCUGUCUCUGCCUUUAUAGUUAGAAAAUUUAUCCACAUCCUGUUCAUGUGAUGAAUUAUUCACUUUCUCCAUUUUCACAAUAAAUACUUACCACAGGUUUUCUCCUUUGGAGUUGUUGUUACUUCAUUGGUUUGCUGUAACGUUAUAUCGAGCUUGUUUUAAAUGCCAAAGUAUAUGCAUUGGCUUUA
This is a non-coding RNA of Struthio camelus australis, 3403 nucleotides long. NCBI's taxonomy places the organism in Eukaryota, Metazoa, Chordata, Aves, Struthioniformes, Struthionidae. The record is from RefSeq and is a predicted model, not a curated record.